This 253-nucleotide ribosomal RNA is filed under the name uncultured bacterium. Its description in RNAcentral is "partial 16S ribosomal RNA". It matches the Rfam family "Bacterial small subunit ribosomal RNA", at positions 524 to 776 of the family's 1533-position model. The record is from RNAcentral.
GGCAGAGGGUGCAAACGUUGUUCGGAAUUACUGGGCGUAAAGCGCGUGUAGGCUGCUUGGAAAGUCGGAUGUGAAAGCCCUGGGCUCAACCUAGGAAGUGCAUUCGAAACUUCUGAGCUGGAGUGCUGGAGAGGAAGGCGGAAUUCUCGGUGUAGAGGUGAAAUUCGUAGAUAUCGAGAGGAACACCGGUGGCGAAGGCGGCCUUCUGGACAGUAACUGACGCUGAGACGCGAAAGCGUGGGGAGCAAACAGG